RNAcentral lists this ribosomal RNA (343 nucleotides) under uncultured Clostridium sp. RNAcentral's name for it is "bacterial SSU rRNA". It matches the Rfam family "Bacterial small subunit ribosomal RNA", at positions 477 to 820 of the family's 1533-position model. The record is from RNAcentral. Lineage: Bacteria; Bacillati; Bacillota; Clostridia; Eubacteriales; Clostridiaceae.
AUCUAACCAGAAAGGGACGGCUAACUACGUGCCAGCAGCCGCGGUAAUACGUAGGUCCCAAGCGUUGUCCGGAUUUAUUGGGCGUAAAGCGAGCGCAGGUGGUUUCUUAAGUCUGAUGUAAAAGGCAGUGGCUCAACCAUUGUGUGCAUUGGAAACUGGGAGACUUGAGUGCAGGAGAGGAGAGUGGAAUUCCAUGUGUAGCGGUGAAAUGCGUAGAUAUAUGGAGGAACACCGGAGGCGAAAGCGGCUCUCUGGCCUGUAACUGACACUGAGGCUCGAAAGCGUGGGGAGCAAACAGGAUUAGAUACCCUGGUAGUCCACGCCGUAAACGAUGAGUGCUAGC